RNAcentral lists this ribosomal RNA (447 nucleotides) under uncultured bacterium. RNAcentral's name for it is "partial 16S ribosomal RNA". It matches the Rfam family "Bacterial small subunit ribosomal RNA", at positions 29 to 523 of the family's 1533-position model. The record is from RNAcentral.
AGCGAACGCUGGCGGCAGGCUUAACACAUGCAAGUCGAACGCCCCGCACGGGGAGUGGCAGACGGGUGAGUAACACGUGGGAACGUACCCUUUGGUUCGGAAUAACUUGGGGAAACUCAAGCUAAUACCGGAUAAGCCCUUAUGGGGAAAGGUUUACUGCCGAAGGAUCGGCCCGCGUCUGAUUAGCUAGUUGGUGAGGUAAUGGCUCACCAAGGCGACGAUCAGUAGCUGGUCUGAGAGGAUGAUCAGCCACACUGGGACUGAGACACGGCCCAGACUCCUACGGGAGGCAGCAGUGGGGAAUAUUGGACAAUGGGGGCAACCCUGAUCCAGCCAUGCCGCGUGAGUGAUGAAGGCCUUAGGGUUGUAAAGCUCUUUUACCCGGGACGAUAAUGACUGUACCGGGAGAAUAAGCCCCGGCUAACUUCGUGCCAGCCGCCGCAGUAA